Non-coding RNA from Ictidomys tridecemlineatus (thirteen-lined ground squirrel), 1229 nucleotides. Lineage: Eukaryota; Metazoa; Chordata; Mammalia; Rodentia; Sciuridae. The record is from RefSeq and is a predicted model, not a curated record.
GCGUCCUUUGUUCUGGGGGCUCCUGGAUGGGGGCACAGACAGCACCGGCCACGGCCAGCUGGGGGCAUGAGCCCACCCGGCCAGGGAAGGGGAGAGGGGCGGAGACGGGCAGAGCCUCCGUGAGCGCCUGCAGUGUGAAGCUCAGAGCUUCCGGUGGGUCCCCUCCCCGUGAGCCAGGGCCCUGUGUGGGGACCCUGGGCCUCCCCGUGAGGCUGUCCUGUGGCCGUGUCCUCCACGAUGACCGUCAGACUGAAGGGUGUCCCGAGCUCUGGGCCUUCCUGGCCAACGCGGGGCCACCCGGGGCCCAGGGAGCCCAGUUCUCAGCAGGGCCAAGAGAAGCCUGAUGACAGAGGUGGAGCCCUGGGGCCCGUCUCCGGGGGACAAGGCCAGUCAAGUUCAUUGUAGGACCCCAGCACCUUCCAGGGAGAGCCGUGGACGACUGCGUGUGACCUCAUGGCUGGCUUCAGACGAGACGCCCUGCAGGACAGCAGGAUGUGGCCGUGCCCUGAAAGGCCCCCUUCCGCCUACCGGGGCCCCAGUGAUCCUCAACCGGGAGUGGGCCCAUGGAGGAGAAUGGGAGCCAGUGUCUGACCCUCGGCCGCACCUCGCAGGAGCUGCCCGCAGCGGCCCGGCUGUGAGCCACCACGUGCCCGGGAGAAGGGGCCCACAGGACCAAGGUGGCCAAUGUCACGGGGUCCUCGCUGGAUGCCGCCUCUGCUGGAUGAAGACUGAAGCUGAGCACAAGCGGCCCCCGGGGCCCCCGCCUGCAGUCCCUCCUUCCUUUCUGUCACAAGUUGCCAGCCAGGAGCAAGUGACAAAGGCAGAUAACCUCCCGGAACCUCGGCUUCCUCGUCUGUGAAAGGCAGAUAACCACAUCUCCCUGAAAUCAGGGGCCAUCUGGGAGAUGCCGACCAGGAGCUCAGAACUGCCCGUCCUGCAGGACCAUCCCAGGGAGCGACUGUGCCAGCCAGGGUCCUGCAGAGGGGACCGGGCAGGGGAUGGUGGACGAUGGGGAGGACAGGUGGCCACGGGGAGCAGAGGGGAGACCCUGGGGCUGGGGCAGGGAGGACCCCUCGGUAGGGCUGAGGGCAGAGCUGGGCACCCUCCCUCCAGCUCAGCCUGGGGCUCGGCGGCAGAAAGAUGCGAGCGACCACAGCCUGCUUUAUUGAAAAAGAAAAUAUUCCCUGAAAGACAUUAAAUGAAGUAAAUAAAAGAGAUAAAAAUGGAAA